RNAcentral lists this ribosomal RNA (253 nucleotides) under uncultured bacterium. Its description in RNAcentral is "partial 16S ribosomal RNA". It matches the Rfam family "Bacterial small subunit ribosomal RNA", at positions 524 to 776 of the family's 1533-position model. The record is from RNAcentral.
UACGAGAGGUCCAAACGUUAUUCGGAAUUACUGGGCUUACAGAGUUCGUAGGCGGCUCUACAAGUGAGGUGUGAAAGCCCUCGGCUCAACCGAGGAACUGCGCUUCAAACUGUAGAACUAGAGGGAGAUAGAGGUGAGCAGAACUGAUGGUGGAGCGGUGAAAUGCGCAGAUAUCAGGAAGAACACCCGUGGCGAAGGCGGCUCUCUGGGACGGUACUGACGCUGAGACGCGAAAGCGUGGGGAGCGAACAGG